CUACGGGUUGCAGCAGUAGGGAAUCUUCCACAAUGGGCGAAAGCCUGAUGGAGCAACGCCGCGUGAGUGAAGAAGGUUUUCGGAUCGUAAAACUCUGUUGUAAGGGAAGAACAAGUACAGUAGUAACUGGCUGUACCUUGACGGUACCUUAUUAGAAAGCCACGGCUAACUACGUGCCAGCAGCCGCGGUAAUACGUAGGUGGCAAGCGUUGUCCGGAAUUAUUGGGCGUAAAGCGCGUGCAGGCGGUCCUUUAAGUCUGAUGUGAAAGCCCACGGCUCAACCGUGGAGGGUCAUUGGAAACUGGGGGACUUGAGUGCAGAAGAGGAAAGUGGAAUUCCAAGUGUAGCGGUGAAAUGCGUAGAGAUUUGGAGGAACACCAGUGGCGAAGGCGACUUUCUGGUCUGUAACUGACGCUGAGGCGCGAAAGCGUGGGGAGCAAACAGGAUUAGAUACCCCCGUAGUC
RNAcentral lists this ribosomal RNA (464 nucleotides) under uncultured bacterium. Its description in RNAcentral is "partial 16S ribosomal RNA". It matches the Rfam family "Bacterial small subunit ribosomal RNA", at positions 339 to 795 of the family's 1533-position model. The record is from RNAcentral.